This 729-nucleotide long non-coding RNA is filed under the name Rattus norvegicus (Norway rat). RNAcentral describes it as "long non-coding RNA NONRATT008560". Lineage: Eukaryota; Metazoa; Chordata; Mammalia; Rodentia; Muridae. The record is from RNAcentral.
CUUGGGUAACUGAAGAAGUCUGGGAGACGGUGGUGGAGACAGAGCAAUAGGUGAAUCCACCGUGACCUGGGUCUUCCUGGAACAGGAGCAGCCACAAGGAAGCACCGUAGAUGGUGCUGACCCAAACCGAUGUGCUGGGCGUGGGUCCUAAGGAGAAACUCCUGGAUCGUUCUUUGAUCCAGCAAAGGAGCUGGUGAGGAACAAGGGAGCAGUGAGGCUACAGUGGGCUUCACCCAGCAGAUACUCGAGAGGUGCCUCCUACAGUUGGCAGAGAAUGAGACACGCGCAGCCAAGACAAGCUUCACUUGAACUCUAUCCAAGAUAAGAGGCUCCAGCCACCUGCUCACCGCUCAUGUCUGACACCACCGUCUGUUUAGAGCCAAACUCUCAGUGGGGCAUGGGGUUGGGACAGCUCUGUGUUUGUACCUGUCUGUCCAUGGUGACAAAGAAGGAAUUAAAGGCAGAAGGCAAGAUCUCGAACGAUAGUCACCACAGGAGGCAAACUUAUGCCAAGUCUCUGGACAGAAAGGAAUCUUGAUAUGGAUGGGAGACAAGAUUAGCUCAAGUCACCAGUCAGGAGGAGCCUGGGGUCCUCACGUCGGGCAGAUCUGUGCUGAAGGGCUGUGCUGGGAGUCCUGGAGUGCCACCCAGAUGAAUCACUUUCCCUACACAGGGAAGACUGAUCUUUCCCUCAGAAGCUGUGUUUUGGGAGGGUGCUGGGGAGAAAAA